UUUGUUGACAAAAUUUUACCAUAAUUUGAAAUUCCCUCUCAAAUUGGGGAUUCCCAAAAUUUUGCCCUAACCCUUCUACGUUUCUCAUCUCAAUCUCACACACAACUCCUUCCUCUCAUUCCUCCUCCCUCACGGACGAUUUUGGGUAAAUCCAAAGUCGCCACCGCCGACUAUUACAUGCUCACCAGGUGUGACUGCUACUGUUUUGGAGUUUUGAAGACCAUUAGAGCCUCAUGGUUUUCAUGGAUGAAGAGAAAUGGUGUGCAAGAAGAUCAUAGAUUAUGAAUAGGAAAGGUUGUUGAAGGACCUUAUCCCAAAAAAGGUUGUUGAAGCAGCAUUAGAAGAAGCUUGACGACAUCAAAUUGGGCAUUAAAUAAGCACAAGGUGCAUGUGAUUUCUUAGAUUUGCAAAUGUAAUUUUGCAUGAGUACCAUGUCUUUGCAAAUUAAUUUCAUGGCUCCUCAAUGAUGAGCUUCUGGAAUGGGUUGUGAUUCUUGGCAAUAGUUUCCCAAUAACCAGUUGUAUUGUAUUGACAAUGUUUAUGAUUCGUUCAAAAUGAGUUUUGACCCUUCUUUUUUUC
This is a non-coding RNA of Camellia sinensis, 579 nucleotides long. The record is from RefSeq and is a predicted model, not a curated record. NCBI's taxonomy places the organism in Eukaryota, Viridiplantae, Streptophyta, Magnoliopsida, Ericales, Theaceae.